AGGGUUUGAUCAUGGCUCAGAAUGAACGCUGGCGGUAUGCUUAAUACAUGCAAGUCGAACGAAAUAUUUAGCACUUGUGUUAAAUAAUUUAGUGGCGAACGGGUGAGUAACACGUAAGAACUUACCCCUAGACGAGGUACAACAGUUGGAAACGACUGCUAAUACCUCAUAUUACCGGAAGGUGAAAGAAGCAAUUCGUCUAGGGCGAGGCUUGCGUCUGAUUAGCUUGUUGGUGAGGUAAAGGCUUACCAAGGCGACGAUCAGUAGUUGGUCUUAGAGGAUGAUCAGCCACAUUGGGACUGAGACACGGCCCAAACUUUUACGGGAGGCAGCAGUAAGGAAUUUUCCGCAAUGGGCGCAAGCCUGACGGAGCAAUACCGCGUGAAGGAUGACGGCCCAUGGGUUGUAAACUUCUUUUCUUGGAGAAGAAUUCUGACGGUAUCCAAGGAAUAAGCAUCGGCUAACUCCGUGCCAGCAGCCGCGGUAAGACGGGGGAUGCAAGCGUUAUUCGGAAUUAUUGGGCGUAAAGCGUCUGUAGGUGGUAAGGAAAGUGUAAUGUUAAAGAUCAGGGCUCAACCCUGGGAAAGCAUUGCAAACUAUCUUACUUGAGUUCGGUAGGGGCAGAGAGAAUUCCCAGUGUAGCGGUGAAAUGCGUAGAUAUUGGGAGGAAGACCGGUGGCGAAGGCGUUCUGCUGGGCCGUAACUGACACUCAGAGACGAAAGCUAAGGUAGCAAAUAGGAUUAGAUACCCUAGUAGUCUUAGCUGUAAACGAUGCACACUAU
Molecule: ribosomal RNA, 783 nt
Filed under: uncultured bacterium
Lineage: Bacteria
Description: bacterial SSU rRNA
Rfam family: Bacterial small subunit ribosomal RNA
Source: RNAcentral